UUUUUUUUUUUUUUUGCCUUUGUCUUUUUUUUGUCUUUUGUUGUUGUUGUUGCUAUUUCUUGGGCCGCUCCCGCGGCAUAUGGAGGUUCCCAGGCUAGGGGUUGAAUCGGAACUGUAGCCACCGGCCUACGCCAGAGGCACAGCAACGCGGGAUCCGAGCCGCGUCUGCAACCUACACCACAGCUCACGGCAACGCCGGAUCGUUAACCCACUGAGCAAGGGCAGGGACCGAACCCGCAACCUCAUGGUUCCUAGUCGGAUUCGUUAACCACUGCGCCACGACGGGAACUCCAGAAUAGAGAUUUUAAAUCACCUACUUACAAACAGGAAUUACUAAUGGCCAGAGUAGCUUACACAUACUCAAGAGAGCUAAAUGGCCCAUAACAUUUAUAACAUGAGAUUAAAAUUUCAGCUUGAAGAUGACUAAAUUUCACUCAACAACCAAGUGAAGUCUUUUUUUUCUUCUUCUUCUUUUUAUGGCUGCACCUGUGGCAUAUGGAAGUUCCCAGGCUAGGGGCUGAAUUGGAGCUGCAGCUUCUGGCCUAUGCCACAGCCAGAGCAACAUGGGAUCCUUAACCCACCGAGCAGAGGCCAGGGAUCAAACCUGCUUCCUCACAGAGACCAUGACAGGUAUUUAACCCAUUGAGCCACAACUGUAACUCCAAGGUGAUGUCUUUUUAAAGAUCAAAAAAAGAAGAAGAAACUUUAAAUAAAAUAGUUUAAAAUAAAAAAGUUCUCUAAUUCAAAGGGGUACUUUUUUUAAUGUCCUCAGGCCAGAAUGCUCAGUCAACCUGACAGAAAGAACUACAUACUUUUAUAUAUUCAAAAAUCAAGAUAGAUACCAAGUCAAUGAAGUUUAAAUUUUAAUAUAAAUUCAGUUUUUUUACUAUUACUCCAUAAAUCUACUUUAAAUAUGGUAAUAUAAGAAAAAAAAGUUAAAGAGACUACAAGAACCAUUAGGUUUUUGUUUUGUUUUGUUUUGUUUUUCCCUCUCUUUACAGCUGUACUUGCGGCAUAUGGAGGUCCAAUCGGAGCUACAGCUGUGGGCCUGCACCAGAGCCACAGCAACAUCAGAUCUGAGCCAUGUCUGCGAUCUACACCACAGCUCACGGCAAUGUUGGAUCCUUAACCCACUGAGCGAGGCCAGAGAUCAAACCCGCAGCCUCAUGGUUCUUAGAUUCAUUUCCACUGCGCUACAACGGGAACUCUGAACCAUGAGAGAUUUUUUAAAGAAAAAGGAGGAACAGCAUCAUUUGUAUUGCACUCUUCAGAUGCUCACACUCCUUCUUAAGAAAGUAGAAAAUCCCAUGGAGUUCCCAUCGUGGCUCAGUGAAAAUGAAUCUGACUAGUAACUACGAGGACGCAAGUUCAAUCCCUGGCCUCAAUCAUGGGUUAAGGAUCUGGCAUUGCAGUGAGCUGUGGUGUAGGCUGGCAGCUGCAGCUCUGAUGUGACCCCUAGACUGGGAACCUCCAUAUGCCACAAUUGCAGCCCUAAAAAGGAAAAAAAGAAAAGAAAAGAAAGAAAACUAUACUUUAUUGCUUCCUAUAUGCAUAUGGACAUUAAUGCCUUAGAAAAGAAAAAACAGUCUUUACAGACAUUUUAACUAUACAGAAGAGCACGAAAUAUUUACAAUCCAGAAAAAAAUGUAAAUUCACUUGAAAACUAAAAUUCCUAAAUUAAGUUGAGAACUUUGGCAAAAUAUACAAAGAAAAUACACCUUUUAGAUUUGGUCUUGAAAACUUUUUGUUCUGGCUAUAAAUCAAUUGUAGAAGACUACAGGAGAACUAAAAUGCAGGCAGCUAAUCAAAUGUUUUUGGUUGUUUUUAACUUUAUGGAAUAACUAGGAUGGAUUAAUGACCUACUUACUAACUGAUUAUCUUACCUCUGAAAACACUGGCAAAGGAGUUCCAGUCCUGGCUAAGAGGAAACAAAUCUGACUAGCAUCAAUGAGGAUGCAGGUUCGAUCCCUGUCCUUGCUCAGUGAAUUUAGGCUCUGGCAUUGCCGUGAGCUGUGGUGUAGGUCACAAACACAGCUCAAAUCCCAAAUUGCUGUGGCUGUGGUGUAGGACAGCAGUACAGCUCGGAUUCAACCUUUAGCCUGGGAACCUCCAUAUGCCACAGGUAUGGCCCUAAAAAUACAAAAAAAUUAAAAAUUAAAAAACUGGCUAAGAAUAAAUAUUACAAAUCAGUCUAUAGUCUGAACUGUGAGCUGGUUUCUAGUUGUUUUUUUUUCUACUACAGGUAUUGUUCUUGUCUCCACUUUUUUUAAACUGCUUAAUGAAUCACAACUACCUCAAUACCUUUGCCUUAAAUUAAAGUUCUGAGGUUUAGAGGUUAAACAUUACAAACUGUUCUUAUUACAAACUUUAUCUUCAAGUGUCUUCUUAGUCUUAUUUAUUAGGAAAAUAUUUUUUAAGGCACUUACCAUGUAAACAACUCGUUACUUUAGAAAACAUCCUAGCUAUUAAAAUUUGUCAAAAGACAAGCUUCUAGUCUUAUUUUUCCCCAUUUCAAUAAGUGUUAAAAAUAGUUGUCAAGGAUAGACCUAGGUUAAUCUGACCUGUCUAAAUCCAGCUUAGCUUUUAACACCUUGUCAUAACAUCCUUAUCUUUUAACACUCAAGAAGGAUUAGUAAUUCUUUGUAAACAGUCCCUCAACUUCACAGACCAGCUUUUUGAGGAAAGGUUUUUUUUUUUUUAUAACACUAUGAAUUUCAAUUCUGGCAAUCUGAUAUAAGCAGAAAAUUCUGAUCAAAGAUUACUAUCUUACACAGAUGUUCAUUGUAGAUCAUUAGAAAAACAUACAAAUCCACAUAAAUGUUUGAUAAGAAGGAAUGGCUACCUAAGUGGUAUUCCUUUUAUAAAUGGAGUAUUAUGCAGCCAUAAAAAAUCAUGUUCACCCCCUAAAAUGUGCAAUUACAGGGAAAUAGCUUAUGUUACAGGAAGUGUGAAGAAAUGAACAAUUACAAUUUUUUAGACUACAUAAAAAAUAUCAGAAAGUACACUGGAUAUUUUUUUGUUUUUCCCAAAUGGUAUAUUAUGUACAUGUAUAAUUUUUUUAUCUGUAACAUCACCAUUAUAUUCCUUCUGCUAAUAUUUUAAAGUAUGCAGCUAUCAUGUAACACUCCACCCCCAUGGGACAAUACUUCCUUGCUUACUUACUUUUCCAGAAUGCACACUUCCAACACAUUCAGCCAUCUGAACCAUAAAGGAAAAUUUUCAGAUAGAAAAUAAUAGCCUCUAUUUUUUGGAAGACAUGCUUGGGAAAGUGUUUAUUUAAUAUCUGAACAAUAUUACAGCAUCAAAGUUAAAAAAAAUUAUGUGGCUAUCAAUUAUCAUCAUAGCAGAUAAAAAAAUUUGACUUCCAGGACCUCUGGGAAUUCUUUUGCCCACAUGCAUCAGGAUUCCCAGGAAUUUUCACUGCAGCUGAGUAAUUUCUAUGAUCUGCCACAUCAUCUGUAGAGAUACAUCUUUUCCCAUUCUUCAGAGAAGAUCAGAUUUAUGCACUAACUCAGAAAGCUUUAAAAAUGUUCAUUUGCUCUCUUUUGUCUUUAAUCUUCUAUUAUGCUAUAAACGUUUGGCCUAAAAUUAAGAAAACCAAAUUGUUUUAAGAAAUAAGUAAAUAAUGCCUCAAAAUAGUUGAUCUUAUCUCUCUCUGAACAUUUUUUUCUUAAUGCCAAGUUCACAUUUCAAUGAUAUUUCCCAGAUAAAUCCAAUUGCCUGAAGUACUCUUUGAAAAUACUCAAAACCAAUAUAUUUUAAUAGCAUUUGGAGCAAUUUUACCAACAUUUUCAGGUUGCCCAUCUUAAACGGUUAAAAAAAAAAAAAAAGACAGUUAAAAAGUAUCUUCAAAUUAGUUCUCCAUUUUCAUCCUUCAAACAGACUAGUUUCCCCACCAUGAAUACUUCCUCAAUAUUGAACAGCCAAAUUAGAGCUGAGUUUAAUACCCACAAAAAAAUACUUGUUUAAUUUUAAAUAUAUUGACAUUCAAAGAUAUAAUUAUUUUAUUAGUUUUAUAGACACCAAAGGGAUCGUUCCAGGGGAAAGAAGUAAGCCCAUACUUGUACUCCAAAUACAUACAAAAUAUUUUUUAUUCCCUCCCAGGGAAAUUUGCAUCUUGAUGAGAGAGGCUGGCUUUUAAACUGGCCCAUUUUCACAGAUUUAAAAAUGUAAUACAUUUAUAGCUAGUUGAAUGGGAAAUGCCUGUACUUCAUUCAUCCCUGCCAAACUAUUAGCAAGCUACUUAAUUAAAGGGAGACUACCACUCUCUCUCUGUCCUCAAGACAAAAACUGGGUAUAUGUGAAAACAAUCAUUUUUCUCAGUAUCCACCAACCACACUUGCUGUAAAAUGUUGACUUCUAUGGUCAACCACACAAAAAUUACACUCAGAUGCCUAUUCAUCAUAGUGAUGGUUUCACAGCUUUAUGUCUGUGUCCAAACUCAUCAGAUUGUAUACAUUAAAUAUGUGCAGAUGUUUUGUGAUCAAGAACCCCUUAAUAAAGUUGUUUUCAAAAAUAAAGAAAAAAAUUACACUCAGAAACGCCUACAGCCUUGAUUCUCAGCGUGUGGUCUGCAAAUGAGUGACAACAACAUUACCUGAGAACUUGUCAGAAACAAAGCUCUCAGACCCCAGGCCAGACCUACUGAAUCACAGUCUACAUUGACCAAAACACCCAGGUCAUUUGUCCACACUUUAAAGUUUUAGAAGCACUAGUUUAAAGGUUAAGGUAGAAGUCAGCAUAAUAAACUAUCACCUGCUUUCACAUUCUAAAUUGUUGUAGAAAGCUGCAGAAAAAUCUACAGUUGGCAAUGAAUAAGUCAUUCCUAGAGACUGUUGGUAAAUCUUUUAAUUAAAUCAAAUCUGUCCACAAAGAUUAAAAAAAAAAAAAAUACAACUGGCUGAUGCUUUGUGCCUAUUAACAGGAUUUUCACUGCAUUACCAGAACUAGAUAUUUUUUAAUGACAUACUGAAAAUAGGUACAUCUGUUCAUUCUCUAUUAAGAAAGUAUUCUCGCUGAGAAAAAACUUCCUCUUCUUUUCAAACCUAACCUAAAAUGGAUCUUGUGGAUGAAAUCUACUUUUAAUUGUUCCAAGUUUAAAAUGUAUUAAGGAAGCUUAAUAUAAACAUCCUAAUUGACCAAUUUUAGGACUAGUUUAAUUCACCUCACAAACAGAUUAAAUAUGCGUGUCUGAGACAAAGAUACAGCCCCCCAUCAGAGUCCCCCAUCUCACGUAGGUCCUUGUAACAAAGGGUCCUCACACUUUCAACAACUUUCAUAAGAAAAUAGCUAACUGGAGGCUGUUGGGGAUUCAUAAUAAAAUUUGACUCACAAAAGUAUAAUUUAUGCAACUUUCCAGAAGUGUAUCCAAUAUACAUGGAUACACCUGUACUGGUACUGACCGGUGCUCUGUUAGUCUACAGAUUUUUAAACAAGAUGCUUCUAUAAGGACUUCAACUAUAGCCUAUCCCAAAGUGCUCUGGGGAUAACUUUAUCCCUCUACAAUCAUGGCCUUGUUCUAAACAGAGCCGUUAAGUAAAUUAAAUCUUUAGAAAAACACACUUUUUUGUUUGUAAAGAAAGAAACAUUUCCUGAAUGCCAGAGAAUGUUUCCUUGAGAAACUGUUUAUGUUACUCUGUUGAAAAAGGUGUUUAUGUUGCUAUAAACACCUUCCUUGUAAGAGGGGAUACAGAGUCUCACCAUUGUUUACAUUGUAAUCAGCCCUGAUUCUGAAAAGAUCUACCCUUAUUCCUCAGGCCUGGACUAACUCUCCAUUCUGUCUCAAUUAGAUCAUUCUCAGAGAUAGUCUGUAUUUGUUUAGCAUAAUCAACUCAUCACAUGUGAACAAGGGAGCUUAGGUUCAUAAUCAGCACUACAAUUACCAUCCUCUUUAAUUAGCAACCUGUGGUGAUUUGUGCUAUAUCAACUUCAUUAAACAGAAACUACAUUUCCUGGAGUCUUCUUCUUGGUACAGUUCCAGGUUAGAGUUGACCUGUGCAAAAGUAAAAUUUGCAUAUCUGCAUGGAUUUGGAAGCCAUUACUCGCUGAAGGUUGUCAUAGUUAGCAUAGUGACCAGACAUGACUAUGUGGGUGGGUUCAAGCUUAUCUUUGCUCUUCUCAGAUCCCUGUCCAGUUUCCCAAGCUGGCUCUGAAGGUCAACAGUGACUCUAAGCUUGCCUACAGACCCAGAGCAGUGGGAACCAGACAGAGAGCACAGCCUUCCACAGAUCCUGCCCUAUGAGCCCUGUCUCAUGCUUAGCUUCUCGGACUGACCAAUUAGGGACUCCACUGAUCCCUUCAACUUGCCUCUUGGACUUUCACUUCCCAAGCUCCUACCAUAAAUGUUUAAGGUUUAAUUUCUAUAAUAAAUCUCUUACCCCAUAAUCAAUUGUAGUCUUCUUCCACGAUUAAAUCCCAACUGAAUCUAAAGGUUUCAUUUACUUGUUGCUCUGGAUUUAAUGGUCUCUUGCCAUUAAAGACAUGGUAUAUUCAACAUUAAAUGGCAAAACAAACUUCACCUGC
Molecule: long non-coding RNA, 6522 nt
Filed under: Sus scrofa (pig)
Lineage: Eukaryota; Metazoa; Chordata; Mammalia; Artiodactyla; Suidae
Description: lncRNA (ENSSSCG00035012464.1)
Source: RNAcentral